UACGUAGGGUGCAAGCGUUGUCCGGAAUUAUUGGGCGUAAAGAGCUCGUAGGCGGCUUGUCACGUCGACUGUGAAAACCCGGGGCUCAACUCCGGGCCUGCAGUCGAUACGGGCUGGCUUGAGUGCGGUAGGGGAGACUGGAAUUCCUGGUGUAGCGGUGGAAUGCGCAGAUAUCAGGAGGAACACCGGUGGCGAAGGCGGGUCUCUGGGCAGUAACUGACGCUGAGGAGCGAAAGCGUGGGGAGCGAACAGG
Molecule: ribosomal RNA, 253 nt
Filed under: uncultured bacterium
Lineage: Bacteria
Description: partial 16S ribosomal RNA
Rfam family: Bacterial small subunit ribosomal RNA
Source: RNAcentral